AUGGAGGUGAUCAACACGAUGCAAGGAGGAGGCUUCACAGUUUUAGGAGUGGCCACCAUUUAUGCUGAUAUUACCGUCGUCUCUCCAGGAUAUACUUCGGUUUCUUUCGUUCACUGCCCAAGGGAGACGAAAAUAGUCUCUAUUGAAUUAGCUAGGCUAGCGGUCUCGAUGCCACCGUCAACGUGGAUAGAGGAGCCGCAGUAUCGAUUGUUAGGUGGCUGA
Molecule: ribosomal RNA, 222 nt
Filed under: Triticum aestivum (bread wheat)
Lineage: Eukaryota; Viridiplantae; Streptophyta; Magnoliopsida; Poales; Poaceae
Description: partial small subunit ribosomal RNA
Source: RNAcentral